UACGUAGGGUGCAAGCGUUAAUCGGAAUUACUGGGCGUAAAGCGUGCGCAGGCGGUGAUGUAAGACAGGUGUGAAAUCCCCCGGGCUUAACCUGGGAACUGCGCUUGUAACUGGCAAGCUAGAGUGUGGCAGGAGGGGGGUGGAAUUCCACGUGUAGCAGUGAAAUGCGUAGAGAUGUGGAGGAAUACCGAUGGCGAAGGCAGCCCCCUGGGCCAAUACUGACGCUCA
RNAcentral lists this ribosomal RNA (228 nucleotides) under uncultured bacterium. Its description in RNAcentral is "partial 16S ribosomal RNA". It matches the Rfam family "Bacterial small subunit ribosomal RNA", at positions 524 to 749 of the family's 1533-position model. The record is from RNAcentral.